RNAcentral lists this ribosomal RNA (253 nucleotides) under uncultured bacterium. RNAcentral's name for it is "partial 16S ribosomal RNA". It matches the Rfam family "Bacterial small subunit ribosomal RNA", at positions 524 to 776 of the family's 1533-position model. The record is from RNAcentral.
UACAGAGGUCUCGAGCGUUAGGCGGAAUCACUGGGCUUAAAGGGCGCGUAGGCGGGCAAGCAAGUCCGGGGUGAAAUCUUUCGGCUCAACCGGAAAAGUGCCUUGGAUACUGCUUGUCUGGAGGGAGGUAGGGGCCCGUGGAACUUCCGGUGGAGCGGUGAAAUGCGUUGAUAUCGGAAGGAACGCCGGUGGCGAAAGCGACGGGCUGGAUCUCUACUGACGCUGAGGCGCGAAAGCCAGGGGAGCAAACGGG